UGAUUUGCUUGUGUAACGUAAAUAAAAUAAUUCAUGCUUCGCGUUUAAAUUGCUUAGUACUUCCGAUUAAUUUAUUAAAUUGUGGGCCUGAGGAAAUUGCUUUGAAGAUGCCAGCAUAUGCAAUGCGGUGAUGUGUGUGCAGCACCGGCUGGGAGGAUUCGAUGCAAUUACAAUGAGCGUUAGAAACGCUCGCCGAAACUAAGCAUUGAUUGUUUUCCAUAUUUAUAACGAUUAGAAGAGGAAAAAGAGCCAAAACGCUUACCUAAUAUACUACUUGAAGAAAAGUUAGCUGAAAGGCUACGCUGGAAAUAGUCACAAAAUAAAAGAUAUGAAAAAAGUCACCUACAUUUGCGGUAAUUUAAUUUAUAAUACAUAUUUCAAGUCUGCCACGGGCAUUAAUAAGGUGAAAAUGAAAAUAGAGGAUGAAGUUUGGACACGGAAAAGAUUAAAAUAGAGAAGCAACAAAAAAAACUUCGAAACAAGGGCAAAAUUAAAAUCUCACUGCAUACUGAGAGUAAUGUAUGUAAUAUUUUAGCUCAAUUGUUAUUUUUAAUUUGCAAUUUUUACAUGUCUAAUUCUCUAUCAUCUUGGCUAUCAGAAAUCCACCUUGGCUACUAAUGACUAUGAUGACUUUAUGUAAAUACUGUUGAGAUGCGCAUACCAUAUAAACUGUACACUUAAAAAUUCUAGAUAACAAAUUUCUAACA
Molecule: long non-coding RNA, 707 nt
Organism: Anastrepha obliqua
Lineage: Eukaryota; Metazoa; Arthropoda; Insecta; Diptera; Tephritidae
Exons: 3
Source: RefSeq, a predicted model, not a curated record